Molecule: ribosomal RNA, 232 nt
Filed under: uncultured bacterium
Lineage: Bacteria
Description: partial 16S ribosomal RNA
Rfam family: Bacterial small subunit ribosomal RNA
Source: RNAcentral
UGGCUCCUACGGGACGCAGCAGCGAGGAAUAUUGGUCAAUGGGCGCGAGCCUGAACCAGCCAAGUAGCGUGAAGGAUGACUGCCCUACGGGUUGUAAACUUCUUUUAUAAAGGAAUAAAGUGAGGCACGUGUGCCUUUUUGUAUGUACUUUAUGAAUAAGGAUCGGCUAACUCCGUGCCAGCAGCCGCGGUAAUACGGAGGAUCCGAGCGUUAUCCGGAUUUAUUGGGUUUA